AGAUUUGGAACUGAUCGGCACCGCUUCCGUACGUAGUGGCCAGACUUUCCCAUAAGUCCUGUGCCGUUGCGUAUUGGGAUACCUCGUUCACGAGGCUGGCGUCGAUGUUGCUUAUAAUCCAGUUGAAGCAACAAUCAUCUCGUUGCUGCCAUCGAUCGAAGUGUGGGUCAGUCGGUGGAGGGGGGUCUGUAACUCCGGAUAUGUGAGACGCCAGACCUUUUCCACCGAUGGCUCGUCUCAUCAGUUUUACCCAUAGGUGGUAAUUAUCCCCAUUGAGUUUGUCCGUCAGGCGCACCUCGCCUAACGAUUCCAGGGACGAAGGUUUCAAAAGGUCGAGGAAGGUACUCGAGACUGUGAUGAUAUUUUUCUGAGUCUCAAGCCCGAAUAAACCUGCUCUGAUACCAUC
Salvia hispanica is the source of this 406-nucleotide non-coding RNA. Lineage: Eukaryota; Viridiplantae; Streptophyta; Magnoliopsida; Lamiales; Lamiaceae. The record is from RefSeq and is a predicted model, not a curated record.